RNAcentral lists this ribosomal RNA (253 nucleotides) under uncultured bacterium. RNAcentral's name for it is "partial 16S ribosomal RNA". It matches the Rfam family "Bacterial small subunit ribosomal RNA", at positions 524 to 776 of the family's 1533-position model. The record is from RNAcentral.
UACGUAGGGUGCAAGCGUUGUCCGGAAUUAUUGGGCGUAAAGAGCUCGUAGGCGGUCUGUCGCGUCUGCUGUGAAAACCUAGGGCUUAACCCUGGGCCUGCAGUGGGUACGGGCAGACUAGAGUGCGGUAGGGGAGACUGGAAUUCCUGGUGUAGCGGUGAAAUGCGCAGAUAUCAGGAAGAACACCCGUGGCUAAGGCGGCUCUCUAGUACGGUACUGACGCUGAGACGCGAAAGCGUGGGGAGCGAACAGG